This 164-nucleotide small nuclear RNA is filed under the name Castor canadensis (American beaver). Its description in RNAcentral is "U1 spliceosomal RNA (ENSCCNG00000016810.1)". It matches the Rfam family "U1 spliceosomal RNA". Rfam says of the family: U1 is a small nuclear RNA (snRNA) component of the spliceosome (involved in pre-mRNA splicing). Its 5' end forms complementary base pairs with the 5' splice junction, thus defining the 5' donor site of an intron. The record is from Rfam by way of RNAcentral. Lineage: Eukaryota; Metazoa; Chordata; Mammalia; Rodentia; Castoridae.
AUACUUACCUGGCAGGGUAGAUAUCAGGAUCACAAAAGUGGUUUUCCCAGCGUGGAACUUACCCCUCACUCUCCAAAUGUGCUAGCUCCUGCAUUUUUUCCAAAAACAGGAAACUGGACUGCAUAAUUUGUGGUAGUGGGGGACUGCAUUUGUGCUUGCCCCUA